This is a non-coding RNA of Physcomitrium patens, 3080 nucleotides long. NCBI's taxonomy places the organism in Eukaryota, Viridiplantae, Streptophyta, Bryopsida, Funariales, Funariaceae. The record is from RefSeq and is a predicted model, not a curated record.
ACGGAGUAUUGAGACCCGCGUCUGUUGAUGGCAUGGUCGAACUUGGGUUGAUGACUGGGAUCGUGGACGAAACUUCGCUGUUGUCGUUGGAGAGAAUUGUGAUGGCUGUGGCUUCGGAUACAAGAACACCAUCAUCGAAGGAGCAUGAAAUGGGAGUGGAAUUACCCGAGAUUGGUACGUGCAGAUGGUGACUCGUUUCAUCAUUACGUGCAGACGCGGCUGCAGGUUGUGCAGCAGCAUAGGCAGCUGCGCGAUGAGGCGCACGGUUUAUUAGUUGGGGGCUUGUGUUGUAGAAUUGGGUGACCACCGCGCGCUGGAAUAGCUCAACAGGGUUCCUGGUUGCUUUGGCUCUUUGCAAAUAAUGGCUUUGCCGCCGUCGCCUUUCCUCGACCACACAUCGAUCACUCCGGUCUCAUAUAACACGUGUAGAGCCCAGUGCUACAAUGCUGUGAUUUGUUCACAUCCAUCGCGAGGCUGCUCCUCGAGGCUCGUUUAUCGUGAUUCCGUAGUAAGAAUUCCUACCGAUCAAUCUUGCCUGUAAUUAGGAAUCAACUUAUUUGAGAACUCCCUUCUUUCACGGUGAGAGAUUUGGCGAUUGUUUUCAAAGUGUUGGGAAGGAAAAGCCCCUGAAUCUUGUAACAUUUCCUUAAGCGUGGCGUUUUGGGCAUAUUUUCUAUUUUAGGGCAACAAUUGGAUGUUGUGUGCUGGAGAAUUCUUGAAUGGCGAUUACUACUUCCAGUCUUUGCAACUCCUGGUAUAAAAUCGACGUGUAUGUAGACAUUCAAAGGGUCCGUCGCUUCAUUGUAUAAUCAAGGCAAUUGCGCCCAGUAUUCGCUAGUUUGUGCACAUCGUGGCAUGCGGAACGCGGUACAUCAUUUUUUGGGGCGAAACUAACUAAAGAGGAAAUUGGAGCAGCUGUUGCAUGUCCUCUUCGACGAGUCACUGCCGCUUCUACUACCUGCUUGGAGCAGCUCUGAAUCUUCGUUGCUUGUUGAUUAUUCACAGCAUCCAUGCUGGUAAUCUUACAGCAGAUAUUGCUUUGAUCACCUGACCUUGUAAGUCCUUUGGUACAUCAUUAGCUUGAUCCUCUUUACGAUAAUGAUAUUAAUAGUUUUUAAUUUGGCAAUGCUUCCAAUCGUCAUAUACUGUUGGGUCACCCAUCCGGAUUGUUAGAUGAACACUAAUUAUGACAUCAAUCUCUUAACCGUGAUAGAGCAGGUUAGCUGUUAAGAAACAUAAUCUACCAACAGUAAUUAUAAGUUUUUUUGUUAAGUAGAUUAUGAACAAAUGAGUAGAAUAGAAAGGAUUUUGUUGACCUCAAUUAUCAACAAACAAUACAAUAAAACAAAUAAAUAAACAUAAAGAAAUGCUUAACACAUCAUCUCGAGGUAGUUUCGACAAUAGUUCAAUAAAAAAUCAAACAGAACAUUGUAUCUAUUCCAAAAAUAAACAUCACAUAACUGAUACAGACAAGUCUUCUGUAAAUAUCACGUAACUUGUUGAGUUAUGAUUGUUUUUAUACCAUUAUAGCGUCUGCAGACUACUUUCUGACACGUUGUUACAGCUUCCCGUUGUCAGUUUAGUUAUCUACUUAUACACGAGAUAUGUAGUAAAAUAAAGCAAAUGUUCCUGUACUAUUUUAUUUGUCCCACAUGUACAAAAGCCAUUUGUGAAUGGAUUCUUUUUUCGAGUCCCUGCUUGCUUCCUGGCAGUUUCCAUUUCUACAGACAAGUCUUCUGGAAACCCUCAUACUGCGCAAAAUCCUCGUGAGGAAGCGCCGCUCGAAUUUGCGGAGGGGACAACUGCUGAUGGGCGGAGCAUGCACGCAGUGUCCCGUCGUCAAGGACCCAUUUUAGGUUUACUCAUGGGUUCCCUUGUUUCCUUUACCACUGAUUUCAUAGGGUUGUCAUUGUGGGAGUGAAGCUCCACAUAAUUUCAACCCAAUUGAGAUAACUGAAGGUACCUCGUUGCAACGGAGACAGCUAGAACGAAAGCUCCACCUUUUCAUUCCUGCCCUUUCUAUCCUUGAAAGUUUCAAAAAACAAUACUGCCCAAAGGUGUACUCUACUCCCUAAUAGCAUGCAAACUAUCACUGGCCCAGUAUGAGGCAGCCCACUGCUAAUAUUAGUCGGACGAUGCACAGCCACAUGAAAUUUGCAAAAUGCUCAACAUAACCGAUUCCUUCAAUUUGUGUGACAUCCUUCUGUUCUCAUGGGUUUCUUUCUACUGCACAGACUCAUUUUGCUGAGAUGGCAUGUUUACAAAGUGGUCACCGAGAAAGAAAGGGAAUAUUUUGGUGACUGACGGCAUCUCUUCCGUCAUGGUAUCAAUCUGGCAACGACUAUCUGGCACCUCUAGAAAUGUGAUGCCUUCUUUGAAUUGGAGCGGUGGUAUGUGGUAUUUGUUCUUCGCUGGAUUUUGUAUGGUAGAGCCUUGUGGGUACAUGGAUAUUUAUAUACAUUUGCACGUGUGUGUAUAUAUACUGCUUCCUGAUCCCAUCCGAACUCGAGAUGUUAGUGGUAAUCUUUGACUUCGACUAGGUAGUCUGCAUUGGCGUCUUCUUGUUUCCUUAGGUGGCUAGGACACGCCCUUGGCUAUUGUGUUGCUGCGGAGAAUUGGUGGCUGCAAGUUGCUGCAUUGUCAUCGAGGAAUUUUUUUUGAACAGCAAACAGGGUGGAUUCUCCAUUGACCAUUACAAAGAUGGGAGAUGCGGUGCGAUAACUCCUAUCGAACUGGAGCCUUGAAUUCGCUCACCGAUGAGUAGAUAAAGACAUGUCAGUCUUGAAAGAUAUCUUUGGUGUGAAACAAUCAACCUUUAUUGUCGGUAAAGGUGGAGAUAGUCAUCCUCUUUCGUGUUCAAAUUAACAAUGGGGAUUGUGCCGGAGCUAUUCAAGAUUAUUUAAGGAAAAGUGGGAAUGAGCAUUUAAACGGGAAAAUACCACGGCCUUGAUGACAGGUUUUAUUUGUUUUCACUUUCUUCAAGAAAAAAAGCAUGUGCGAGUAAAUUUGCAUUAUCAUUAAUCUAUUCCACAGCUCCUACAAUAUAAUCAUCAAAGGAAUCACUAUCUAUACUAGAUCUA